AACGAACGCUGGCGGCAUGCCUAACACAUGCAAGUCGAACGAGACCUUCGGGUCUAGUGGCGCACGGGUGCGUAACGCGUGGGAACCUGCCCUUCGGUUCGGAAUAACUCCCCGAAAGGGGUGCUAAUACCGGAUAAUGUCUUCGGACCAAAGAUUUAUCGCCUUUGGAUGGGCCCGCGUUGGAUUAGCUAGUUGGUAGGGUAAAAGCCUACCAAGGCGACGAUCCAUAGCUGGUCUGAGAGGAUGAUCAGCCACACUGGGACUGAGACACGGCCCAGACUCCUACGGGAGGCAGCAGUGGGGAAUAUUGGAAAAUGGGCGAAAGCCUGAUCCAGCAAUGCCGCGUGAGUGAUGAAGGCCGUAGGGUUGUAAAGCUCUUUUACCCGGGAUGAUAAUGACAGUACCGGGAGAAUAAGCUCCGGCUAACUCCGUG
RNAcentral lists this ribosomal RNA (433 nucleotides) under uncultured bacterium. Its description in RNAcentral is "partial 16S ribosomal RNA". It matches the Rfam family "Bacterial small subunit ribosomal RNA", at positions 29 to 507 of the family's 1533-position model. The record is from RNAcentral.